Molecule: long non-coding RNA, 429 nt
Filed under: Helianthus annuus (common sunflower)
Lineage: Eukaryota; Viridiplantae; Streptophyta; Magnoliopsida; Asterales; Asteraceae
Description: sRNA HanXRQr2_Chr01g0003461
Source: RNAcentral
GGCACACACCCACACAUCAUAUGUAUGUGUCGCCAGGAGAUCAAGAGAAGAAGGGGAAACCCUUUCUACUUCUAAAAUUCAGCAAUUAAAGGAAGAAAUUGAAGCUAAUCACCUGCAUGUUCACCCCAACCUAACCAUCUUAGCAUUCUUAACAUAAGGGAUUAAAGAAGAAAGCUCAAGUCAUUCCGGAACGCAAACAAACCACAACAAAGGUAAAGGAACUUGUUAGCGGCGCUACUUGGAUCGAACACACUCAUGAUGCACGCUUCCGCGAAGAUCCUAGUUUGGUUUAAAUUUUUUUUUUUGGGUUAAACGUUUUUGUUAAAACGGGUCUUUUGUAUGUAAGUUAACCCGGUAGUGGUUAGAUGUUAACUUGUAGUUAAAGACUGGGUUAAUAACUUGUAAAACAUGUAUGAAUUUUGCUUAUAA